This 818-nucleotide ribosomal RNA is filed under the name uncultured Hypocreales. Its description in RNAcentral is "eukaryotic LSU rRNA". The stretch from base 246 to 818 matches the Rfam family "Eukaryotic large subunit ribosomal RNA", at positions 1 to 586 of the family's 3401-position model. Lineage: Eukaryota; Fungi; Ascomycota; Sordariomycetes; Hypocreales. The record is from RNAcentral.
UGAAUCAUCGAAUCCUUGAACGCACAUUGCGCCCGCUAGUAUUCUGGCGGGCAUGCCUGUCUGAGCGUCAUUUCACCAAUCCCCCUGGGCUUCUUGUCCCGGGGGCUGUUGGGGAUCGCCGAGCGUACACUCGGCGUCCCCUAAACCUAGUGGCAGCCUCGCCGCGGCCUCCCCUGCGUAGUAAACACUCUCGCAGGCGGAACCACAGCGAAGGGUCGCCGUAAAACCCCCAACUUCUUAAUGGUUGACCUCAGAUCAGGUAGGAAUACCCGCUGAACUUAAGCAUAUCAAUAAGCGGAGGAAAAGAAACCAACAGGGAUUGCCUCAGUAACGGCGAGUGAAGCGGCAACAGCUCAAAUUUGAAAUCUGGCCUCACGGUCCGAGUUGUAAUUUGCAGAGGAUGUUUCUGGCAAGGUGCCUUCCGAGUUCCCUGGAACGGGACGCCAUAGAGGGUGAGAGCCCCGUCCGGUUGGUCGCCGCGCCUCUGUGAAACUCCUUCGACGAGUCGAGUAGUUUGGGAAUGCUGCUCUAAAUGGGAGGUAUACGUCUUCUAAAGCUAAAUAUUGGCCAGAGACCGAUAGCGCACAAGUAGAGUGAUCGAAAGAUGAAAAGCACUUUGAAAAGAGGGUUAAAAAGUACGUGAAAUUGUUGAAAGGGAAGCACUCAUGACCAGACUUGGGCCGGUUGAUCAUCCGCCGUUCUCGGCGGUGCACUCUGCCGGCCCAGGCCAGCAUCAGUUCGUCCCGGGGGAUAAAGGUUUCGGGAAUGUGGCUCCUCCGGGAGUGUUAUAGCCCGUUGCGUAAUACCCUGGGGUGGAC